This 497-nucleotide ribosomal RNA is filed under the name uncultured bacterium. RNAcentral describes it as "partial 16S ribosomal RNA". It matches the Rfam family "Bacterial small subunit ribosomal RNA", at positions 28 to 507 of the family's 1533-position model. The record is from RNAcentral.
GAUGAACGCUGGCGGCGUGCCUAAUACAUGCAAGUCGAGCGAACAGACGAUGAGCUUGCUCCUCUGACGUUAGCGGCGGACGGGUGAGUAACACGUGUAUAACCUACCUAUCUUACUGGGAUAACUUCGGGAAUCCGGAUCUAAUCCCGUAUAAUAUAUUGCACCGCAUUGUUCAAUAGUGAAAUACGGUUUUUCUGUCUCUUCUAGAUGGAUCCGCGCCGCAUUAGCUAGUUGGUAAGUUAACGGCUUACCAAGGCUACGAUGCGUAGCCGACCUGAGAGGGUGAUAGGCGACACUGGAACGGAGACAGGGUCAAGAGGACUAAGGGAGGCAGCAGUAGGGAAUGUUACGCAAUGGGCGAAAGCAUGACGGAGCAAGGCCGAGUGAGUGAUGAAGGUCUUCGGAGCGUAAAACUCUGUUAUGAGGGAAGAACAAAUGUGGAAGGAAAUAUGCACGUAGUGACGGUAACGAAUCAGAAAGCCACGGCUAACUACGUG